Molecule: non-coding RNA, 687 nt
Organism: Phalacrocorax carbo (great cormorant)
Lineage: Eukaryota; Metazoa; Chordata; Aves; Suliformes; Phalacrocoracidae
Source: RefSeq, a predicted model, not a curated record
AGCCAAGCAGGUACUCAUUUUCCAUUUCUGUGUAGUAUCGUAUAGCUAAUUUUCGUCAACAAUGUGAAGCUGUGCUAUUUAGAUAUGACAAAACAAUCACCUGAAGAGACAUAUACCACAAUACCCUGUGCUCACAAAAAUCUAAUUUAUAUACCUGUUUAAAUAAUCAUCACAUUUCACUUAAUGUGCACCUAAAAUGUGUUUUAAGAAAUACACAUUAACACUGGUUUCAUUGGAAAAGACAUUUUUUGUACUGUAGCUAACAGUCCUGAAGAACUGAGCAGGAUUCAAAGGAGGAAUGACCAGAGCAGUUUGAACUGUAGUCCAAAUAAUGAAUAUGCCAUCCUUAAAUGUGGAAGAAGAGAAAAGAAGUGUAACAGGCUGUGCUAAACAGAAUUUUUGGGGAUGUAGUUACAUGUUUCAAGUAAGAGUGGCUGCUUCUUUCUUUUUUUUAUCUUCUUUAUGACUUCUUAAAAAUCUACUGAGGAAGAUGGGUAUAAGAUUUGCAAACCCGACCUUCAGCACAUAGUCUCCAUUUUUACUAUUUAAGAAAACUACUUGAAAUGGAAGCAAUUUACUUCUAUUCAGAAAAGCUCCCAGCAUCUUUAAACAGCUGGUACAGAUCCUAUGGUGCAUUGUGGAAGACUGUCUUGGCCUGGAAGACUGCCAUGGAGUUGGCUGGAGUUA